UUCUCUUCUCUUGGGUGUUCUAUACACCCUUUCCUUGGGACGUGCGUCCUAAGGAUUUUUAUGCCCAAAAGAGUUUAGGUGCCUCUUUCUUAUUGAUUUCUAGCAUCUGGUAGCAGCAUAUAGCAAAGAGAAACUCUAGAGAAGAGGAGAAGAAAAAGAUCAAGGAGAAAAAUCAAGUGUUGAUCGCGAUCCAGACUUCGUUCAAAUUCAGUAGGCUGAAUUUUGGAGAAUCAAAAUUCAGAUUAUAGAGGACUGUUCCAGACUGAUCCCGAAUGGAUACUCGUAGAGACCGGAUAUUUAUACAGCUAACAAAGAGCCUCAUCUCUUCUAGAUCUAGUUUUGAAAAAAGAGAUUGCGAAACAGGUAUGUGAUUUGAUCACAAUUUAAAUUUCAGCAUAUAUUAAUUUCAGCAUAUGAAAUAGAUCCAUGUGGUUUUAUGUUUUUAUGCAUACAAAAUUCAGAUUAAAAGUAUUUUAAUCUUAUUCUCUGCUGCAGUAUUUAGAAAAUAAAAGUUUUAAAACACAUAUGUAUGCACCAAAUCC
This 542-nucleotide long non-coding RNA is filed under the name Elaeis guineensis (African oil palm). RNAcentral's name for it is "long non-coding RNA (EGUI_LNC005558)". Lineage: Eukaryota; Viridiplantae; Streptophyta; Magnoliopsida; Arecales; Arecaceae. The record is from RNAcentral.